UACAUGAAAACACCGUCCUUUCGGCGCCAUGGCUUACGUUGCCUAACAAUCACAGCAGGAAGAACCUUUUUCCUGAGGUCUGGCUUACCUUUCUUGACAGUGGCCAUAACCAUGUCACCAACACAAGCAGAAGGUAACCGAUUGAGACGACCUUUGAUUCCUUUGACCGAAAUGAUGUAAAGGUUCUUAGCCCCUGUGUUGUCUGCACAGUUCACUGUGGCUGCAACGGGCAGACCAAGUGACAUCCUAAAUUUGUUACCAGACGUUCCUCCACGACCUAAUCAAAUCAAACAACAAAACACAACCACCAUUACAACAGUACUCAACAACAUUUACCACUUUUGGUUUCAAUAAAACUCAUCUUCAUUCAAAAUUCAUUACUUUUGAUAUCAAAUGUUGCUAAUGAGCUGUCUAGAUGAAACCUAUACGUAGACCUAAAUCAAUUAUAUCCUUUGUUGAAACCUAAUUGAGUCAUAUUUCUUGGAAUUGAAGAAAUCGAGAUCAAAGUUCCAAUCUUUCAAGCAUACAAAAUUGAGAGUAGUAGAUUGAUUUCAAUUAUUUUAAAUCUAACAGUCAUGGAAGCUUCAAAAGCUUAUUAUACCAAAAUGCAACAGCUACGACAGAAGAAAGCUUAGAAU
Molecule: long non-coding RNA, 638 nt
Filed under: Arabidopsis lyrata
Lineage: Eukaryota; Viridiplantae; Streptophyta; Magnoliopsida; Brassicales; Brassicaceae
Description: long non-coding RNA (ALYR_LNC002095)
Source: RNAcentral